AAUUAUUUUGUGCAGUAGUAAAAUUUAAAUAAUAAAGGGAAUUUUGAUUUAGUUAUUUUUGUAAGUGUUGAUUAAAUAUGUGCCAGCAGUCGCGGUUAUACAUAAGACGUAUAUAAGUAUUUUUAGUUAAAUAGUUUAUUUAUUUAAUUUAAUUUAAUUUGAAAAUUUUAGGGUAAAAUUUAAAUUUUUGUUUUUGGUUAAAUCUUAUGUUAAAUGAUACUGUGAAAUCUAAGUUAUUUAAACUAGGAUUAGAUACCCUAUUAUUUUGGAUUUAAAAUUUUUAAACUUGAGUAGUAUUAGAUAUGGUCUUGAAACUUAAAGAAUUUGGCGGUAUUUUAGUCUGGUUAGAGGAAUCUGUUNCAUUAUCGAUAGUCCACGUUGAACCUUACUUAAUAUAAUUUAAUAUGUAUACCGCCGUUUAUUUGAAGAUCUUUUUAGGGUAAAAUUUUCUUUAAAUUUUAUUUGAUUUUAAUUCAGGUCAAGGUGCAGUUGAUAAUUGAGUGAUAAUGGAUUACACUAUUUGUAAAAUAAACGGAUUAAAAUUUGAAAUUAUUUUAUAAAGGGGGAUUUAAUAGUAAUUAAUAAUAAGAAUUAUUUUUGUGAUUUUAGCUCUAAGAUGUGUACACAUCGCCCGUCACUCUCGUUAUUAAGAUGAGAUAAGUCGUAACAAAGUAGGUGUACCGGAAGGUGUAGCUAGAUUGAU
This 703-nucleotide ribosomal RNA is filed under the name Geoscapheus crenulatus crenulatus. RNAcentral describes it as "12S ribosomal RNA". The record is from RNAcentral. Lineage: Eukaryota; Metazoa; Arthropoda; Insecta; Blattodea; Blaberidae.